RNAcentral lists this long non-coding RNA (3881 nucleotides) under Homo sapiens (human). RNAcentral describes it as "HSALNT0408273". The record is from RNAcentral. Lineage: Eukaryota; Metazoa; Chordata; Mammalia; Primates; Hominidae.
AUCUAUUGCUGCUUGGCUUUCUGAGCUUCUGGCAGGAAGUUUCACCCUUAUCUCAGAUCAAGAGAAAGCUGCCAGUAUCACCUCUCCAGUCUUUUAAAGCCUGAGCUUCUGCCUGAGCCCACUCACCACUUCAGGGAUCUGCCAACUCAUGUGGCCCUACACCCAGGUCUCUUUGCGCAAAGGGCAGGAUUUCAACUCCUCUAUCUUCUUCAUCACCCAAAGGGAUUGUGGAGUGCAGAUUUGUGGGUCCACAAUAGCAGGGGAGUGGAAUCUGACCAUUUCUCAAGCCCUGGAAGCCCAUCUUCUAAGAAGGAGGCUGCUCAGGGUUUUCUAGGGAGGGUGAGGGAUGCAACUGCAUUCCUGCCUCUUACCAGAUGUGUGACUCUGGAAAAUCGAUUUAUACUCUGUGAGCCUGAACUUCUCCACUGCAAAAUGGGAAACAAUUGAUACUGUCCCCACAGAAUUGUGUAGGGAAAAUGAGGGAACUUAAGGAAAUGUUUGGUGCAUAAUAUAACUUCAGCAAAUGUUUGUUCUGCUCACCAUGACUCCUCACCACGAUAAAAGAGACUUCGACAUAAAAGAAAGAGCAGAACUGUCAGAGCAUUUGGAAAUGUAGCAACAAGAAAGGAAAUGUAUAGGCAUUUACAUAAUGUAUGAAUUUGGGUGCCAUCUCAGUUGUAGAAUGUUAUCAGAAGAAUUUGGAGAAAGGGAAGACAAUAUUGUACUAUUUCCUUGUAUUCUAUUGAAUUUCUGUCCCUGUUACUUCACUUUCUACUUGAACAUCUGAAGAAAUAGUUUUCCAGUAAGUUCUGGAAAAAGGAGACAGUACAGGGGAACCAAAUAUAAUAAGGACCAUUGGAUCUUAGAUGAGUCACUUCCUCUGUGCUGGCCUCAUCUCUAACACCAAGUCACAUGCAAUAUAACUGGUUAGGGGGUUUGGGCUUUGGGUGCUAUUGUUUUCUGGUUGCAUGACCUUUAGCAAAUUUUUUAACCUCUCUGAGACCCAUUUAAAAAUAUUUCAAAUGGCUGUUAUAAUGGCAACAACAUCAUUAGGCUGUACUGAAAAUUAAGUGAGAACAUGCAUGUACAGCAUUUAGUAAAGUGUCUGGCACUAAGUAAUCAAUAAAUGUUAUCAUCAUGUUCCUUUAUUAUUGGCUUUUUCAAGACCAUCAGAAGAAUAAUAAAGGGUUUGGGGCUGGGAAGAAUGUAGUGUUUCACCUUAGAUGACAGGUUCUAUUACGCUGCAGCAUUAAAAGGGUUCAGUGGUGGUGCAAGAACUGACAUACAUAUUAAUGGGACAGAAUAGAAAAAUAAGAAGCAGAACCAAGUGUACAGAGACAUUGAGAAUUUCAUAAAUGUGGCAUUUGCUGUUACUUAAUAAUUCAUAGACGCUAAGAAUUGAUGUUGGGUCAUUUUAAACUGUUCACUAACAAAAGAAUGGGAAAUCUUAUUCUCAUGCCAUAUGAUAUAAUGUGAAGCAUUAGUACACACCACCACCUAUCUAUCCAGUAUGAUUGCAGUUCCAUAAAAUGGGUAUGCAGCUGUACACAUAUUUGCAUGUAUGUGUAUAUUUCUAGUUUCAAUGAGAUUCAAGAAACUAUGAACACUGUUUAUCAAUGAGAGUAUGAUUGGAAGUUACUUGUAUCUUUUUAUACCUGUCUGUACUUUUGAUAAUAUCCUAAAUGGGCAUGGAUUAUUUUUACAAACAGAAACAAAGCCUGUAAAAGCUUUUAGUAGCUAGGGAACACAAGGGAGUGUGAUAGGUUGGAAAGAGAAAAUGUUUUGGGGCUAUACAUACCUUGUGUUCUCCUCUGGCUUUGCCCAUUGCUAGGGGGUGACCAAAAGGUAAGGUACUUAACUCUUCUGAUUUCCCAUUUUCUUGUUCUAAAGAGGAGGAAAGUAAUCCUUUCAUUGCAGAGUUCUUGAAGUAAUCUGAUGGAAUUAUCAAAAUAUAGAUAAAUAUGCUGUGCUUUAUAUUAAACUGUACUGGAGAUUCCAUCCCAGCUCUUACCCCUACAAGUUUCUUCACCCUCUGAACUUCAGUUUCCUUAUCUUGGAAUUGGUUAUAACAUUGAUCUUGAAAUAGUAUGUAUAUUAGCUGUCCAACACAGUGCCAUAAUAGGCACAACUCCCCCUAUUCCAGGUAACUAUUUCCAAGAACAUUAUAUAUCCUAGUAAUAUAAAAGAAAGAGGUGAUUUUUUUUUAUGACUGGGGGCCUAAGAAUUGGUGGUAAUUCUUAUUUUCUUCAAAUAAUCUUAUUUUUUCCAUUUAAUUAAGUAUUUUAUAUCCUGAGGAGCCUUGAUCCAGCCAUUCUGUUCUGAGGAAUUUAUCUUACAACAAAACAUGUUUCAAGAAUUUCCUAUUUGAAACCAUGGUACAACCAUGGUGAUUGUGCAUAUAUUUUUGGAACUUUUGUAAGAUUUUCCAUAGGAUAAAUUCCUGAAAGUAAAAAAUUUUAACCAAAACAUAUGGCAUUGCCAAAUGCAGAUUUAAAAUGUUCAAUACCAAUUUCUAAUCCCAUGCACAGUGGUGGUAUUUCCUUUCCCUGAAUUCAUCUCAUCAGUUAAAAAGGGGCUUAGGCACUUUGACACUGCAAUUCCUGUUGCAGAAAUUUGUCCUGCAGGACAGUCUGUACAGAGCUAUAUAUUGCAAGGCUUGGAGUUUACCCUGUGGUUGAAGCACAGGGACCAAGGAAAAAAAGUGUUGAAGAUCACUGAAGUGAAAUAGUUCAAGUGAUGAGUCAUGCACUCUAGGCUGGAUCGGGAAGGAGCGUGCACAUUUUAGGGGCCUGAUACACUGAAAGGCUCAGGGGUUGGGUUCCAUGGUUCUUUCCUCCCCUGUUCUCGUCUCCUCCCACUGGAACUCUGCGCACUCCUCUGUGUCAGGCCCUGGGAUUGCUGCUAUACACAGUUUUACCUCCCUUAAUCCUCACAACAUUUUCAGCUCCAUUCUCUAGAUGAGAAAACUGAGGCUCUGACAGGUAUUCAUCGAAUCUAAGACGCCACACUAUUUUAGGGACUACUAGGAAAAGCAAAAUUCUGGCUAUUAUAAUGGUAAGACAGCACUAAUUUAGGUGUUAAAAGUGAAAAAAUAUAUGCCUCUGAGACACGGGGAAAUGUUAUAGCUUGUGUAGCUUGCAUCUAUUACAUGAAAAAAUUGAGGUUGGAGUCUAUUUCCUUCUGGUAUCAGAUGUUAUGCUGUUGCCAUAAUUUAGGACCACAGUGGUAAAUUAGACUUGUACCAAUCAGGUAAUGCCCUCUUCUCUUAUUGUCCUAUUGGGUUUUUUAUAUUUAUUGUGUGUUUUAUAUUUAUUUAUAUACAAACAAAAAUAAUGUAUACAUACAAAUAUAAUGUAUAUACACAAAUAUUUAUAUUCAUUUCUGAUAGCCAGGUGUUAGUUUUUCCCUCCUGUGUAGUGGUUGUGUGACCUUGGGCAAGUCACUGCAUAUCUAUGUGCCACAUUAUCUCCAGCUUUAUUAGGAUGGACUCCAACAUUAGGAUCACUUUAAGCCAUUCACAUUUUGUAAUUUAAAAUUUCCACUUGCCUGACAUUUAGCCUUCUGUCGCUGUGCGUCCUUCCUGUCGGGGGUUGAUUGGGGUCAAGUGGGAUGGUGGAGGGUGUUCUCUUUGAAAGAUGCCUGCAGUAGCAUUGCUAAGUAAUGGGACAUACCCCUUCAUUUUUCAUCUUAAUAGAAUCCACAUUGCCAUAAGGAAUUCUCUUAAUGCAGAACGCAUACAUACCAAAAUAAAUGGGAAGCGUCCGGAUGUUGGAAAUAAUUCAAACAGCACCUUGUAAAGGGCAUGCCUACAAAAUAUAUGGAAGGUUUACUAAAAAGUAGAAAAUAAAUGGUUUUGGUUGGGCUUUAAAAUUCUAGUUGCA